This 87-nucleotide transfer RNA is filed under the name Magnetococcales bacterium. Its description in RNAcentral is "tRNA-Leu". It matches the Rfam family "tRNA". Rfam says of the family: Transfer RNA (tRNA) molecules are approximately 80 nucleotides in length. Lineage: Bacteria; Pseudomonadati; Pseudomonadota; Magnetococcia; Magnetococcales. The record is from RNAcentral.
GCCCUUGUGGCGGAACAGGUAGACGCAGCGGACUUAAAAUCCGCUGGCCGCAAGGCCGUCCCGGUUCGAUUCCGGGCAGGGGCACCA